This is a non-coding RNA of Danionella cerebrum, 68 nucleotides long. Lineage: Eukaryota; Metazoa; Chordata; Actinopteri; Cypriniformes; Danionidae. The record is from the annotation of a GenBank genome assembly.
UUUCCAUUGGCUCAGUUAGUAGAGCAUUGCUCUUAUAAAACAAACGUGAGUUCAAACCCCAAGGAACU